Molecule: transfer RNA, 55 nt
Filed under: Camelus bactrianus (Bactrian camel)
Lineage: Eukaryota; Metazoa; Chordata; Mammalia; Artiodactyla; Camelidae
Also listed under: 2 other names
Rfam family: tRNA
About the family: Transfer RNA (tRNA) molecules are approximately 80 nucleotides in length. Their secondary structure includes four short double-helical elements and three loops (D, anti-codon, and T loops).
Source: Rfam by way of RNAcentral
GCUCAGUGGUAGAGUGCAUGCCUAGCAUACAUGAGGUCCUGGGUUCAAUCCCCAG